AGAGUUUGAUCAUGGCUCAGAAUCAACGCUGGCGGCGUGCCUCAGACAUGCAAGUCGAACGAGAAAGUCCCCUUCGGGGGGUGAGUAAAGUGGCGCACGGGUGAGUAACACGUAGGUAAUCUACCUUCGGGUGGGGAAUAACCCAGGGAAACUUGGGCUAACACCGCAUAAUGCAGCGGCACCACAUGGUGACAGUUGUUAAAGCGGGGGAUUUUAGGACCUCGCGCCUGAAGAGGAGCCUGCGGCGGAUUAGCUAGUUGGUAAGGUAACGGCUUACCAAGGCGACGAUCCGUAACCGGCCUGAGAGGGCGGUCGGUCACACUGACACUGACAUACGGGUCAGACUCCUACGGGAGGCAGCAGUCGGGAAUUUUGGGCAAUGGGCGAAAGCCUGACCCAGCAACGCCGCGUGAAGGAUGAAAUCCCUCGGGAUGUAAACUUCGCAAGAUUGGGAAGAAUUAGUAGGGGUUAAUACCCUCUAUGAUGACGGUACCUUUUGUAAGCUCCGGCUAACUCCGUGCCAGCAGCCGCGGUAAUACGGGGGGAGCAAGCGUUGUUCGGAUUU
RNAcentral lists this ribosomal RNA (565 nucleotides) under uncultured Acidobacterium sp. RNAcentral describes it as "bacterial SSU rRNA". It matches the Rfam family "Bacterial small subunit ribosomal RNA", at positions 8 to 552 of the family's 1533-position model. The record is from RNAcentral. Lineage: Bacteria; Pseudomonadati; Acidobacteriota; Terriglobia; Terriglobales; Acidobacteriaceae.